This 710-nucleotide unclassified non-coding RNA is filed under the name Pauridiantha paucinervis. Lineage: Eukaryota; Viridiplantae; Streptophyta; Magnoliopsida; Gentianales; Rubiaceae. The record is from RNAcentral.
NNNNNNNNNNNNNNNNNNNNNNNNNNNNNNCAAUUUUUUUUGCAAAAAUUAUCGAAUUCAAAACAAAUAUCCGAUAGCGCGCCGAUCGGUUAAUUCAAGUUAAUUCAAUAAGAAAUGGGAGUUAGCAACUGGUACCAUUUAAUCGAAUCCAAUUCAAUUGUUUCAAUAAAGAAAGAAUGAAUUUUCAAAUUCAAUCAACCUAUUUUUAGAAUUUCAAGUGGAUCAAUAAGAAUCUUGAGAAAAUCUUUCAUUUGUUUAUCAUUAUAGACAAUCCCAUCUAUAUUAUCUAUUCUAUGGAAUUCGAACCUCAGCUCUAGUUACAUUACGAUUCAUUAAUUUCUAUCUCAUUGAAUUUCGUUUUUAUUUUUCUUUUUUAUACUUUUUCAUAGACGAAUUCUGGCCAUUUUCACAUCUAGGAUUUACAUAUACAACAUAUACCGCUGUCAAGGGGGAAUUUCUUAUUAGUUAGUUAUUUCGAUUCCAAAAAGGGUAAAUUGGGUUGCGUUAUAUAUAUGAAAGGGUAUACAAUAAUGAUGUAUUUGGCAAAUCGCAUGGUCUAAUAAUCAAACAUUCUGAUUAGUUGAUAAUAUUAGUAUUGGUUGGGAAUUUUGGGAAAGCUUCCUGUGAAAAAUUUCAUUAACAACUAAUUCGUGUCGAGUAGACCUUGUUGUUGUGAGAAUUCUUAAUUCAUGAGUUGUAGGGAGGGAUUU